This 254-nucleotide ribosomal RNA is filed under the name uncultured bacterium. RNAcentral describes it as "partial 16S ribosomal RNA". It matches the Rfam family "Bacterial small subunit ribosomal RNA", at positions 524 to 776 of the family's 1533-position model. The record is from RNAcentral.
UACGUAGGGUGCAAGCGUUGUCCGGAAUUAUUGGGCGUAAAGAGCUCGUAGGCGGCUUGGCAAGUCGGGUGUGAAAACUCCAGGCUCAACCUGGAGACGCCACCCGAUACUGCCAUGGCUUGAGUCCGGUAGGGGACCACGGAAUUCCUGGUGUAGCGGUGAAAUGCGCAGAUAUCAGGAGGAACACCGGUGGCGAAGGCGGUGGUCUGGGCCGGUACUGACGCUGAGGAGCGAAAGCGUGGGGAGCGAACAGG